This 286-nucleotide long non-coding RNA is filed under the name Sorghum bicolor (sorghum). RNAcentral describes it as "long non-coding RNA (SBIC_LNC018667)". The record is from RNAcentral. Lineage: Eukaryota; Viridiplantae; Streptophyta; Magnoliopsida; Poales; Poaceae.
GCCAACUGCAGGUUCAGCUGUGCACUUGUUGUUGCUCCAGCAAAGGCAACUGCUGCUGGUUGGGGUAAUGCACUGCUUGACUGCUAUUACAAAUCCAUUCAUAUGUCCUAGAGUGAUAUGAUAGUAGAACAAUUUUGUAGCUUUGUUUAGCGUAAACAAAAUAGAGCAGCAUUUUUCAUGUCUAUCAUCAUUGCACUUUUCGAUUAAGCACCUAGACUUGGCACGACUUUGAUGACAAGUAUGCUGAAGUCAUUAUAUGUAUAUACUAUCUAUAGAGGUUGAGACU